RNAcentral lists this transfer-messenger RNA (357 nucleotides) under Candidatus Pacearchaeota archaeon. It matches the Rfam family "transfer-messenger RNA". Rfam says of the family: Bacterial tmRNA, also known as 10Sa RNA or SsrA, is named for its dual tRNA and mRNA-like properties. Its role is to liberate the mRNA from a stalled ribosome. To accomplish this part of the tmRNA is used as a reading frame that ends in a translation stop signal. Lineage: Archaea; Nanobdellati. The record is from RNAcentral.
GGGGGCGAUAAGGGCUCGACGGGGAUAGGUAGGGUUAAACUGCAGGCCGUGGUCGCACCCGCCACGUAAAAAAGGGUGCAAAAACACAACUGCCGAUGAAUAUUCUUAUGCUAUGGCAGCCUAAAGAGAAAGGCUGCCACGCACUUAAGGAUGUUGCCUGCGCAUCCUUAAGUGUGUGACCAAGCAGGCUUUGGCUAAAGGAAUUGGUAGGGUUCCUUUAGCCGAGAAAUAACCUACCUGGUAGAAAGUCUGGGUGCCUGUGCCCAGCUUUCUACGAGAUUUAAACACAGGCUAAGCCUGUAGAGGUUUAACCUGAACUAUCUCCGGACGCGGGUUCGAUUCCCGCCGCCUCCAUAU